This is a long non-coding RNA of Ictalurus punctatus (channel catfish), 2252 nucleotides long. NCBI's taxonomy places the organism in Eukaryota, Metazoa, Chordata, Actinopteri, Siluriformes, Ictaluridae. The record is from Ensembl.
CAAGCCUAGUCACCACCCAGUAUGUCAUUCAAUCAUUAAUUCAUUAAGCCCCAGAACCCAUGCAAAUAGGAUACACCAGGGUGUGUUUGGAAGAGCGCCAUCGGCAUCAAUGCAAGGGGCUGUGCUUCUACUACAGAUAAUCAGGUCACCAAUGGACUACGUGCCCCAAUAAAACCCAGACUUCCAGCCAAAAAGUGAAUAAGAUAAUUUCUCCCUUACCAUUCAGGGAAAGUUUCCACCUAUCCCUAACCAUUGAUUUUAAUGGAAGUUCUAACCAUGUUUCCGGGGCAGCUGCAAACAUAAUCCAUCAUGACCUCAUCACUGAACUCAAUAUGCCUACCUCACCAUGCCCCCCAUCCAUCAACAUUACAGCUGUCAACAAUGGUCCCAUAGGAACAGGCAUCUCACAACAAACCAUACCACUAACAGUCUGAAUUGGCCUUUUCCAUACAGAGAAGAUCCUACUAUGUCAUAUCUUCUCUGAAGAAUCCUAUCAUCCUGGGCUACACCUGAUUAACUACACAUGAUCCAACUAUCUCCUGGGCACAAGGUGAACUUCUCCAGUGGUGAAGGUACUUCAGCAAAGAUGAUUCCAAUCAACAAUCAAUCUGCCAUGUCUCUCCACAAUUCAAUUCAAUUUUAUUUGUAUAGCACUUUUUCCAAUGGUCAUUGUCUCACCAGCAUCAAAGGCCCCAACAUUCAAGCUCUAACCCAGAUUCCAGAGGAAUUUGCGGAGGUGUUCAAUAAAGUCAAAGCAACACAACUCACUGUCCUUGGGAUUGUGUCCAUUACAGCCCCUCCUAAAAGCAAGGUGUACCCUUUAUCACUUCCAGAGAGCCAGGCUAUGGAAAAGUAUAUUGAGGAAGCAUUAGCCUCAGGCUUCAUACGCCCAUCCACAUCCCCUGCAGCAGCAGGAUUCUUCUUUGUGGAAAAAAAUGGCAGCGGCCUCAGACCCUGCAUUGACCAAUGUGGCCCUAACUCAGUCAAUGUCAAGUAUAGAUAUCCACCGUCAUUAAUCCCCUCAGCCCUGGAACAACUGCGGGAGGCCUGAAUUUUUUACCAAGCUAGACCUUAGAAGUGCAUUAAACCUUAUCCAAAUCUAAAAAGGAAAUGAGUGGAAAAUGGCCUCUGAGAUCAUACUGUAGUUGGGAACAGGAGAAAUGGAACGACUUCCUUCCAUGGGCUGAAUAUGCACAGAAUUCCCUCAAGCAUUCCUCUACUGAAUUCUUCUGGGCUAGCAACCACCCAUGUUCCCUUGGUCAGGUGAAUGCUCAACAGUGCCAGCAGUGUACAAUUGGGUCAGGAGAAGUGAGAGGGUGUGGAACAGUGCACACGUUUGGCUCCAAUGUGUCCGGGUUCAACACAUUCACGAUGACCGUAGGAGACGUCCCCACCCCAACUACCAACUGGGUCAGGGAGUCUGGCUGUCUACAUCGGGACCUUCAUCUGCAGCUACCCUGCAGGAAGCUCAGCCCCAGGUAGGUAGGUCCAUUUCAUAUCCUAAGACAAAUAAAUCCUGUGACCUACAAACUAGAGCUUCCUGCUAACUACAGCAUCUCUCCUUCCUUUCAUGUGUCACUGUUAAAACCAGUCCACCCUGCAUCUUGCCCUGAAACCAUGGAAUCUCCACCACUGCUGGAGAUAGAUGGAGCUCCAGCAUACCUGGUCAGGAAAAUCUUGGAUUCCAGAAGGAGGGGAGGCCAGAUGCAAUAUUUGGUGGACUGGGAAGGAUACAGACCAGAGUAGACAUCACAGUCAGACAUGUACAAAUGGUUGGAGAGAUGAAGGGAAAUCUGUCUUGAGCGACCCUGUCACCCAAAUACCAGUGAAUGAAAAAUCCAUACGCAGAGGGACGGUUGAAGCUGUGCCGUGCACUUUCAGCUUCUGAAGAGACACAAUUAUACACACAUCCCCGUUGGGCUGAAGGAGGGGGUAUUUCACACUGGUGGUCUUCAUUGAAAACUCACUGUCAGUGUCUGCAAUGUUCUGCUCUUCACCCAAAAACCACAGAUGACACUAGGGUGGAUACAAGAAAGGAACCAAGUAAGGAGAUGCUUAACUUAUCUGUCAAACAAAAGUGGAAGGAAAAAUGAACGUCACUGUAAAACAUAGUGUAUGGAUAUUUUGUAUGCUUUCUUUGUGGUGGUUGUUCUAACAGAAAAGGCAUUUCUGAAAAAAAAAAUUAUUAAGGAAAAAAGCAACCUCGGAAUCAAUGCAGUUUUGGUUAUUAAAUUAAAUAAAAUCCACUCGCU